UGAGCGCCUGGGCAGGCCCCGUUUCUGUGCAGGGUCAGUCGCCGUUGUGACGUAGGCAAAACUAUGCCUCGGGGGACAUUGUGAAGUUAGCGAAGGGUGCCCUAGGUGACACUGUGAAGUAGGCAAGCGCAUUUUAUUCGCUCAUUAAGCAUUUACUGAACCCGUCUGUGUGCCAGGUACCAGCGAUGUAAAGACAGUGAAGAGCAGCCCUACCACAGGUGACAAGGGACAAAGCCACGGAAACAGAUCUCCUUUGGUGAAAUGUCAAAAAGCAAACCAAAACAAAACCACACUUUUCUAAAUUUGGGCUACCCAAUAGGAAACUGAAAACAAGAAGACCCCUGUCAGCUGCUGGCCUUGCCUCCCACCGUAGAAGACUAGACACAAACCCCCUCAUGUGCAGCAGGCGAUACUGAACAUAAAGGCUCUCAGCCCUGAGCAACAAUGGAAAAUAAAAAAGCUUUUCCUUGCUUCAGUGUCGGGGAAUUCAAUUUUUCAGUGAGGACAAGAUGGUGGCUCAUGCAUUUCAGGAAAAUGGAUGGACUAGGUGGAAACAUACGCAGUUUCAGUCAACUCUGAUGUUUAUUCCCGUCUAAAAUAUAGCAUCUUUUCUGCAAAAAUGAUGAGUUAAAAAUAGUUUAAUGGAGAAAAGGUAUUUAAAAUAUAAUUGUGACAAUUUAAAAAAUCCUCUCAUGAACACAGAAGGAAAAAG
This is a long non-coding RNA of Manis pentadactyla (Chinese pangolin), 712 nucleotides long. RefSeq lists it as uncharacterized. The transcript has 3 exons. The record is from RefSeq and is a predicted model, not a curated record. Lineage: Eukaryota; Metazoa; Chordata; Mammalia; Pholidota; Manidae.